GAGUGAAGAGGGAAGAGCUCAUCAUUGGAAUCUGGCAGCGUUGCGCUGUCCGAGUUGUAGAUGAGAAGAGUAGGACAUCUGGACUGCAUGGUGUCCAAGUACAAUAGGCCGUCAGUGGGACAUCAUAGAGGGUGACAAUCCCGUCCUUGACACCAAUGUACGAGUCCUUUACGAUGCCUAUCUCGGAGAGUCGAGCAGUUUGGGAUUUGCUGCUUAAACACGGGAGGUAGAUUCCUUCCAAAGCUAAAUACAGGCAAGAGACCGAUAGUGAACAAGUACCGCAAGGGAAAGAUGAAAUAGAACUCUGUGAAGGGAGUCAAAAAGACGUGAAAUUGUUGCGAGAGAAGCGAUUCAAGUCAGCGUAGCUGGGCCCAUCAAGCCUCGCGCUUUGGACCAGCUUUGCCAGCGGUCUUGUCCCCAGAGACUUGACUAAGGUGCCCUGCCCGGUCUAACGGACAGACCUCCCCGCUGGGGAGGCCAGUGGCAUGGCUGGUGGAAUGGCUUGCAAUCGACCCGUCUUG
This 521-nucleotide ribosomal RNA is filed under the name Cantharellus romagnesianus. RNAcentral describes it as "eukaryotic LSU rRNA". It matches the Rfam family "Eukaryotic large subunit ribosomal RNA", at positions 91 to 656 of the family's 3401-position model. The record is from RNAcentral. Lineage: Eukaryota; Fungi; Basidiomycota; Agaricomycetes; Cantharellales; Hydnaceae.